UGGGGAAUAUUGGACAAUGGGCGAAAGCCUGAUCCAGCCAUGCCGCGUGUGUGAAGAAGGUCUUCGGAUUGUAAAGCACUUUAAGUUGGGAGGAAGGGCAGUAAGCGAAUACCUUGCUGUUUUGACGUUACCGACAGAAUAAGCACCGGCUAACUCUGUGCCAGCAGCCGCGGUAAUACAGAGGGUGCAAGCGUUAAUCGGAAUUACUGGGCGUAAAGCGCGCGUAGGUGGUUCGUUAAGUUGAAUGUGAAAGCCCCGGGCUCAACCUGGGAACUGCAUCCAAAACUGGCGAGCUAGAGUAGGGCAGAGGGGGGUGGAAUUGACUGUGUAGCGGUGAAAUGAGUAGAUAUAGGAAGGAAAGCAAGUGGCGAAGGCAACCACCUGGGCUCAUACUGACACUGAGGUGCGAAAGCGUGGGGAGCAAACAAA
RNAcentral lists this ribosomal RNA (429 nucleotides) under Pseudomonadota bacterium. RNAcentral's name for it is "Proteobacteria bacterium partial 16S ribosomal RNA". It matches the Rfam family "Bacterial small subunit ribosomal RNA", at positions 355 to 776 of the family's 1533-position model. Lineage: Bacteria; Pseudomonadati; Pseudomonadota. The record is from RNAcentral.